Molecule: ribosomal RNA, 123 nt
Filed under: Neotoma lepida (desert woodrat)
Lineage: Eukaryota; Metazoa; Chordata; Mammalia; Rodentia; Cricetidae
Source: RNAcentral
GUCUACGGCCACACCACCCUGAAUGCACCAGAUCUCGUCUGAUCUCAGAAGCUAAGCAGAGUCAGGCCUGGUUAGUACUUGGAUGGGACAUGGACUUAUUAGAGCAGCUUUCUGGCUUAGCAC